ACGGAAGGUGCAAGCGUUGCUCGGAAUCACUGGGCGUAAAGGGUGCGUAGGCGGCUUCUUAAGUCUGGUGUGAAAGCCCAGGGCUCAGCCCUGGAAGUGCACUAGAAACUGGGAAGCUCGAGUGCCGGAGGGGAGAGUGGAAUUCCUGGUGUAGCGGUGAAAUGCGUAGAUAUCAGGAGGAAUACCGGUGGCGAAAGCGACUCUCUGGACGGUUACUGACGCUGAGGCACGAAAGCGUGGGGAGCAAACAGGA
RNAcentral lists this ribosomal RNA (253 nucleotides) under uncultured prokaryote. Its description in RNAcentral is "partial 16S ribosomal RNA". It matches the Rfam family "Bacterial small subunit ribosomal RNA", at positions 525 to 777 of the family's 1533-position model. The record is from RNAcentral.